CAACGCUGAGGAGUCCCAAAACAAGACGAAACAGCCGUCCGGUGC
Molecule: non-coding RNA, 45 nt
Filed under: Schistosoma margrebowiei
Lineage: Eukaryota; Metazoa; Platyhelminthes; Trematoda; Strigeidida; Schistosomatidae
Source: RNAcentral